CAGCGCCGCGGUAAUACGUAGGGUGCAAGCGUUAAUCGGAAUUACUGGGCGUAAAGCGUGCGCUGGCGGUUUGUUAAGACAGAUGUGAAAUCCCCGGGCUCAACCUGGGAACUGCAUUUGUGACUGGCAGGCUAGAGUAUGGCAGAGGGGGGUGGAAUUCCGCGUGUAGCAGUGAAAUGCGUAGAUAUGCGGAGGAACACCGAUGGCGAAGGCAGCCCCCUGGGCCAAUACUGACGCUCAUGCACGAAAGCGUGGGGAGCAAACAGGAUUAGAUACCCGUGUAGUCCCUGUCUCUUAUACA
RNAcentral lists this ribosomal RNA (301 nucleotides) under uncultured bacterium. Its description in RNAcentral is "partial 16S ribosomal RNA". It matches the Rfam family "Bacterial small subunit ribosomal RNA", at positions 509 to 808 of the family's 1533-position model. The record is from RNAcentral.